AACGCUGGCGGCGUGCCUAACACAUGCAAGUCGAGCGCGUUUCUUCGGAAACGAGCGGCGCACGGGUGAGUAACACGUGAAUAAUCUACCUAUUGGCCUGGAAUAACUAUUCGAAAGGGUAGCUAAUGCCGGAUAAGUUCCCUGAUUCCGCGAGGAUUUGGGAGGAAAGGCCGCCUCUUCUUGAAAGCGGUCACCAGUAGAUGAGUUCGCGUCCCAUUAGCUAGUUGGUGAGGUAACGGCUCACCAAGGCNUGCGAUGGGUAGCUGGUCUGAGAGGAUGAUCAGCCACACUGGAACUGAGACACGGUCCAGACUCCUACGGGAGGCAGCAGUGGGGAAUAUUGCGCAAUGGGGGAAACCCUGACGCAGCAACGCCGCGUGAGUGAAGAAGGCCUUCGGGUCGUAAAGCUCUGUCCUAGGGGACGAUGAUCAAGGAGUUAAUAACUUUUUGUGAGGACGGUACCUUAGAAGGAAGCACCGGCUAACUCCGUGCCAGCAGCCGCGGUAAUACGGAGGGUGCGAGCGUUGUUCGGAAUCAUUGGGCGUAAAGGGUGUGCAGGCGGAAAGGUGUGUCUGAUGUGAAAGCCCGGGGCUUAACCCCGGAAGUGCAUUGGAAACUGCUUUUCUUGAAUCUCGGAGAGGGUAGUGGAAUUCCUGGUGUAGAGGUGAAAUUCGUAGAUAUCAGGAGGAACACCGGUGGCGAAGGCGGCUACCUGGACGAAGAUUGACGCUGAGACACA
Molecule: ribosomal RNA, 739 nt
Filed under: uncultured bacterium
Lineage: Bacteria
Description: bacterial SSU rRNA
Rfam family: Bacterial small subunit ribosomal RNA
Source: RNAcentral